RNAcentral lists this transfer RNA (76 nucleotides) under Gammaproteobacteria bacterium. Its description in RNAcentral is "tRNA-Lys". It matches the Rfam family "tRNA". Rfam says of the family: Transfer RNA (tRNA) molecules are approximately 80 nucleotides in length. Their secondary structure includes four short double-helical elements and three loops (D, anti-codon, and T loops). RNAcentral also lists the same sequence under 3 other names. Lineage: Bacteria; Pseudomonadati; Pseudomonadota; Gammaproteobacteria. The record is from RNAcentral.
GGGCCGUUAGCUCAGUCGGUAGAGCAUCUGACUUUUAAUCAGGGUGUCGCAGGUUCGAUUCCUGCACGGCCCACCA